AUUAAACGCUGGCGGCAUGCCUUACACAUGCAAGUCGAACGGCAGCACGGGGGCAACCCUGGUGGCGAGUGGCGGACGGGUGAGUAAAGCAUCGGAAUGUAUCCUGGAGUGGGGGAUAACGUAGCGAAAGUUACGCUAAUACCGCAUAUUCUGUGAGCAGGAAAGCAGGGGAUCGCAAGACCUUGCGCUCUGGGAGCGGCCGAUGUCGGAUUAGCUAGUUGGUGGGGUAAAGGCCUACCAAGGCGACGAUCCGUAGCGGGUCUGAGAGGAUGAUCCGCCACACUGGGACUGAGACACGGUCCCGACUCCUACGGGGGGCAGCAGUGAGGAAUAUUGGGCAAUGGGCGCAAGCCUGACCCAGCAACGCCGCGUGGAGGAAGACGGCC
RNAcentral lists this ribosomal RNA (386 nucleotides) under uncultured bacterium. RNAcentral's name for it is "bacterial SSU rRNA". It matches the Rfam family "Bacterial small subunit ribosomal RNA", at positions 29 to 416 of the family's 1533-position model. The record is from RNAcentral.